Molecule: ribosomal RNA, 2835 nt
Filed under: Triticum aestivum (bread wheat)
Lineage: Eukaryota; Viridiplantae; Streptophyta; Magnoliopsida; Poales; Poaceae
Description: partial small subunit ribosomal RNA
Source: RNAcentral
CUCGCUCGUGUUUGUUUGUGUGCUCGUCCGCGGCGCGCCACGAGUGAGUGGGGGUGUGAUUAUCGCGUCUAGAGAGCGGGCCGGGAGAGCUAGGUGGACUCAAAGGGCGGCCGGCGUGGCUAGACUGCCACCGCCGCCGUCUCCUCCGGCGAUCCCGAUCUCAAAACCGCACUACGUCGCCAGACCCGCCCCGGACGUCGCCAGCCCGAGCUUCGCACACGAGCUGGGGUGGUUGCCGUGACCGCCGCCGCCGCUGCUGCUGGUACGCCGGUUUGCCGGGGCGCACGGGCGGGAACGUUCACAGUAACACCUUCGUGAUUUUCAGCUGUCAGACGUCUUCGAAACAAGUAGCGACCUCGGAUAAGAAGCUUCUCAACAUUCGCUUCUCCAUCUCGCACGAAACCGGUUCAACCCAGGACGAUCUUAACUUCCUUCCAGGAGAGGGUUUUCUUAUCUUCCGGGACUACCCUGUUUAGAAGUCGAAGUUAAAUCUUCGUCCAACAGAGAGGGUGAGAAAUGACCACCUUUUCAUCUUCCGCUCGUCCCCCGUCGAUAUGUACAACACGACGACCUAUGGUUGUGACCAACACAACAGUGAAGCCCUGGACUUAGUACACGUUUCGACCUACAAGAACACGAACUCCCACUGAAGUUAUUUCUCCUUCUACUCCCAACCUGUCUUCUCCUCAAACUUCCGGUAUAACAGUUCCUCGCGCUUCCCUUUUCUGGAGAGAACUGACCACUGGAAGUCCACUGAGAAUUUCUUCCACAACCUUGGUAUCCCCUCGAAUAGAAGUGACUGUUGAGGUCGACCUAUUCUUCGUCCUUUAAGUCUGAACCCGAGUCCCAACGGAGACCAAAAAGACUUCCAUAAGCACAAUCCCUCCGCUUCUGUCUUCGAAAAUGACAAUUUCUAGUAUCUCCCCUUAACAUGUUUUUUGUGAUGGGAGGACGAAACUUCCUACUACAAACCUCUAAUCUUUUCCAACCGUUCCUACCACGUAAGGUGUUCUUCAAUUUACCUUCGCCUUAGAUAUGUCAACUUCUAAAAGAAGCCGAAGAACAAUCCCUAGUUGUCUCCAACGCAUCAUAAGAACCGUCACCGUACAGUUUAUUCUACACCCUUUCGGAACAACUCGUACGUUUCUGAACACAAAAUCCACCUUUCGUAAUAUAUAUAAUACACUUACUAAGUUCUUUACAGCCACGUUAUAAGUUAUUGUAUAUACUCAAGUGACCGAACUAACGACUACUAGUCAAGUAAAGUCGACUUUUAGAGUGCCUGUUGGUCUUCCAGAUACGACUGUGCAACCAUUUCUUUCGUAUACUCCUAACCUACGUACGACAUCUUAUACUACCAUUCCGUGAAGAACCGAAGUUCGUCUUUUUCUUUAGACAGUGCUGGUCUUCACUAUGGCGUAGUCGAAGUUGUUCAUUGGGACGAAACAUACCAAAACAGUUUCGUGUUUUUGUCAAUGACGGUCCUUUUCGACCGGUUUGUAGUUGUCCGUGAGGUUCACUUCGUCGACCUCAUUCUUCGUGUAUAUUACCUUUAGACCGUCGUUCUUUGUGAUCAGGAGUCUUAUUGCGACGUUUGUAAUGGUACGUUAUACUCUCCUCACGUGACAGUGGACUUUCGGUCAAGUCACCCGGGAGGGAAGUCUGAGUUUGAAGACCUCCGAGGUUAUAAAACCGUAACCUUGGACGUGUCGUCGUCGUUGUCCCAAAACUUAAGAGUCGUCAACCAGUCAGGUACGUUGGACGUCUGGACUUGGGAAAGCUAGUUACCAGUGUCGGCGUUCUCUUGGCACGCCAACUACUGAUGAACUACCUCCUCUAGUCCAACUCCUCGGUACUCUAUGAGCUCUUACUGCUUUACGUUGUCUACGACGCUUAAAACUUGUACCCACCUCGUAGAUGGUUGUACUUACUACUACCGAAGUGAAAAGGCGGGAUGUACGUCAGUGGAAGGGGCUUGAACUUGAAACUCCUACUGGCGUGAGCAGGUGGACCCUUUCGGCAACACCCAACCGAAUUUUAGUUCCGUCGAUACUCCACCCCGUAGAAGCAGUCCUUCUUUCGCCGGCUCGCUUCUCGAGUCGAGCAACUCGAUCUACUACUGAUCGUUGUACAGAAUUCAAGAAUUUACGACAGGCACAUUAACAAAUUCCUAGGCAUUGCGUACCCGAGUCGUUACGUGGUACCUUUCUGUAAGUCCAGUACUCAAGAAUUAGUACCUGCUUGAGGACAAAUCAAAUACAAAAAGAAAAAGACAUAUCAAAGUGGUAACAGAUACGUAAACAAACAAAUCGCACUACAACUAUUCUGGGAAAAUGGAUUUGACACAUGUAAAUAAACAACGUCUAUAGUCCUUUCCGCAAUUUCAUAAGGAUAACAAAAGUGCAUUUUAUCUUAACAUAGAGGAAACCAAUUCUUUUUGUUCUAUCGGUAGAAAAAUGUUACGUGACACAAUAUCUAUCGGUGUACAUUUACAACGCAACCUAGAACAGUAGAUGUGUACAAAAGAAUACAAAAAGGAAAACUUAACGUACAAAGUAAUACAUUCUGUGCCACUGUCGGUUUAAAUGGUAUCUGAUUAACUGACGGGUACACAACGGGGCCCGGUUGUUUACUUACUUACGAGUAAAAUGAGAAGUACUUCACUCGGUGUUGUAUUUGUGUUCAUAGAAGUACGUGGGGAGAUCGAUGAAAAAAAACAACUUGAACAGUAAGUACAGAAGAGAAGAGUAUGUGGUAAGUAGGAGACCUACACCAAAUACACAACAACAAAAUAACUAAGUGACAUAAUACGUACAGCACGUUGCACUUUGUGGU